RNAcentral lists this microRNA precursor (90 nucleotides) under Pteropus vampyrus (large flying fox). RNAcentral describes it as "miRNA (ENSPVAG00000029410.1)". The record is from RNAcentral. Lineage: Eukaryota; Metazoa; Chordata; Mammalia; Chiroptera; Pteropodidae.
ACCACGUGGGGAUCUUGUUAAAAGGCAGAUCCUGAUUCACUAAGUCUGGAGCCUGAGAUUCUGCAUUUCUAAGAAGCUCCUGGUAAUGCC